CCUACGGGUGGCAGCAGUGAGGAAUAUUGGUCAAUGGACGAGAGUCUGAACCAGCCAAGUAGCGUGAAGGAUGACUGCCCUAUGGGUUGUCAACUUCUUUUAUAAAAGAAUAAAACGAGGCACGUGUGCCUUUUUGCAUGUACUUUAUGAAUAAGGAUCGGCUAACUCCGUGCCAGCAGCCGCGGUAAUACGGAGGAUCCGAGCGUUAUCCGGGUUUAUUGGGUUUAAAGGGAGCGUAGAUGGGUUGGUAAGUUAGUUGUGAAAGGUCGGGGCUCAACCGUAAAAUUGCAAAUGAUAAGGGGAGGAGUGAGAAAAGGUGAGGGAGGGGGAAGUCGUGGUGUAGCGGUGAAAUGCUUAGAGAUCACGAAGAACCCCGAUUGGGAAGGCAGCUUACUAAACUG
RNAcentral lists this ribosomal RNA (401 nucleotides) under uncultured bacterium. RNAcentral's name for it is "partial 16S ribosomal RNA". It matches the Rfam family "Bacterial small subunit ribosomal RNA", at positions 338 to 736 of the family's 1533-position model. The record is from RNAcentral.